GCAGGCCUAACACAUGCAAGUCGAACGGUAACAGGAAGCAGCUUGCUGCUUCGCUGACGAGUGGCGGACGGGUGAGUAAUGUCUGGGAAACUGCCUGAUGGAGGGGGAUAACUACUGGAAACGGUAGCUAAUACCGCAUAACGUCGCAAGACCAAAGAGGGGGACCUUCGGGCCUCUUGCCAUCGGAUGUGCCCAGAUGGGAUUAGCUAGUAGGUGGGGUAACGGCUCACCUAGGCGACGAUCCCUAGCUGGUCUGAGAGGAUGACCAGCCACACUGGAACUGAGACACGGUCCAGACUCCUACGGGAGGCAGCAGUGGGGAAUAUUGCACAAUGGGCGCAAGCCUGAUGCAGCCAUGCCGCGUGUAUGAAGAAGGCCUUCGGGUUGUAAAGUACUUUCAGCGGGGAGGAAGGCGAUAAGGUUAAUAACCUUGUCGAUUGACGUUACCCGCAGAAGAAGCACCGGCUAACUCCGUGCCAGCAGCCGCGGUAAUACGGAGGGUGCAAGCGUUAAUCGGAAUUACUGGGCGUAAAGCGCACGCAGGCGGUCUGUCAAGUCGGAUGUGAAAUCCCCGGGCUCAACCUGGGAACUGCAUUCGAAACUGGCAGGCUAGAGUCUUGUAGAGGGGGGUAGAAUUCCAGGUGUAGCGGUGAAAUGCGUAGAGAUCUGGAGGAAUACCGGUGGCGAAGGCGGCCCCCUGGACAAAGACUGACGCUCAG
RNAcentral lists this ribosomal RNA (719 nucleotides) under Enterobacter hormaechei. Its description in RNAcentral is "bacterial SSU rRNA". It matches the Rfam family "Bacterial small subunit ribosomal RNA", at positions 42 to 750 of the family's 1533-position model. The record is from RNAcentral. Lineage: Bacteria; Pseudomonadati; Pseudomonadota; Gammaproteobacteria; Enterobacterales; Enterobacteriaceae.